GACGAACGCUGGCGGCGUGCUUAACACAUGCAAGUCGAACGGAAAGGCCCUGCUUUUGUGGGGUGCUCGAGUGGCGAACGGGUGAGUAACACGUGAGUAACCUGCCCUUGACUUUGGGAUAACUUCAGGAAACUGGGGCUAAUACCGGAUAGGAGCUCCUGCUGCAUGGUGGGGGUUGGAAAGUUUCGGCGGUUGGGGAUGGACUCGCGGCUUAUCAGCUUGUUGGUGGGGUAGUGGCUUACCAAGGCUUUGACGGGUAGCCGGCCUGAGAGGGUGACCGGCCACAUUGGGACUGAGAUACGGCCCAGACUCCUACGGGAGGCAGCAGUGGGGAAUAUUGCACAAUGGGCGGAAGCCUGAUGCAGCAACGCCGCGUGCGGGAUGACGGCCUUCGGGUUGUAAACCGCUUUCGCCUGUGACGAAGCGUGAGUGACGGUAAUGGGUAAAGAAGCACCGGCUAACUACGUGCCAGCAGCCGCGGUGAUACGUAGGGUGCGAGCGUUGUCCGGAUUUAUUGGGCGUAGAGGGCUCGUAGGUGGUUGAUCGCGUCGGAAGUGUAAUCUUGGGGCUUAACCCUGAGCGUGCUUUCGAUACGGGUUGACUUGAGGAAGGUAGGGGAGAAUGGAAUUCCUGGUGGAGCGGUGGAAUGCGCAGAUAUCAGGAGGAACACCAGUGGCGAAGGCGGUUCUCUGGGCCUUUCCUGACGCUGAGGAGCGAAAGCGUGGGGAGCGAACAGGCUUAGAUACCCUGGUAGUCCACGCUGUAAACGGUGGGUACUAGGUGUGGGGUCCAUUCCACGGGUUCCGUGCCGUAGCUAACGCUUUAAGUACCCCGCCUGGGGAGUACGGCCGCAAGGCUAAAACUCAAAGGAAUUGACGGGGCCCCGCACAAGCGGCGGAGCAUGCGGAUUAAUUCGAUGCAACGCGUAGAACCUUACCUGGGUUUGACAUGGAUCGGGAGUGCUCAGAGAUGGGUGUGCCUCUUUUGGGGUCGGUUCACAGGUGGUGCAUGGCUGUCGUCAGCUCGUGUCGUGAGAUGUUGGGUUAAGUCCCGCAACGAGCGCAACCCUUGUUCACUGUUGCCAGCACGUUAUGGUGGGGACUCAGUGGAGACCGCCGGGGUCAACUCGGAGGAAGGUGGGGAUGACGUCAAGUCAUCAUGCCCCUUAUGUCCAGGGCUUCACGCAUGCUACAAUGGCUGGUACAGAGAGUGGCGAGCCUGUGAGGGUGAGCGAAUCUCGGAAAGCCGGUCUCAGUUCGGAUUGGGGUCUGCAACUCGACCUCAUGAAGUCGGAGUCGCUAGUAAUCGCAGAUCAGCAACGCUGCGGUGAAUACGUUCCCGGGGCU
Molecule: ribosomal RNA, 1346 nt
Filed under: uncultured bacterium
Lineage: Bacteria
Description: partial 16S ribosomal RNA
Rfam family: Bacterial small subunit ribosomal RNA
Source: RNAcentral